Molecule: ribosomal RNA, 300 nt
Filed under: Triticum aestivum (bread wheat)
Lineage: Eukaryota; Viridiplantae; Streptophyta; Magnoliopsida; Poales; Poaceae
Description: partial small subunit ribosomal RNA
Source: RNAcentral
AUGACCAUUGAGUUGCACACUCUCGUCUGCAUAGUCGCACACACACGACUGCGGGAGGUGCACACACGUGUCGGCAUAGUUGCACACGCACGACCAUGGGAGGUGCACACACAUGUCGGCAUAGUUGCACACGCACGACCGUGGGGUGCACACUCUCGUUGGUAUAAUUGCUCAUGCACGUUUGCGGGAGUUGCACACGCUCGAUGGCAUAGUCGCACAUGCACGACUACGGUGAUGCACACCCUCAUCGGCACAGUAGCUCACGCACCACUGCGGAGUUGCACACUGCCUUUAGGAUAG